Long non-coding RNA from Pelmatolapia mariae (spotted tilapia), 236 nucleotides. RefSeq lists it as uncharacterized. The record is from RefSeq and is a predicted model, not a curated record. Lineage: Eukaryota; Metazoa; Chordata; Actinopteri; Cichliformes; Cichlidae. The transcript is spliced from 3 exons.
UACUUUCACUUCCUGAACUUGGUGCAGUGGAGCUUGUUGUUGGUGUGUGAAGAAACUGUAGAAAGUGUGUGUGAGCUGAUGUGAGCAGCAUGGAUCAGUGUGAGGACAGAGAGGAGGGAGUCCCUCCCUCUAAAAGCACUCUGUGUGGGGAACAUGAGAGCCAGACCAAAGCUCAGAGGAACCCACCUGCACCUCCACCCAGCUCUGUGUCCUUAAAGAGUGACCGGUCUAAAGAU